GAAUAUUGGACAAUGGGGGGAACCCUGAUCCAGCCAUGCCGCGUGUGUGAAGAAGGCCUUUUGGUUGUAAAGCACUUUAAGCGAGGAGGAGGCUACUCUAGUUAAUACCAAGAUAUAGUGGACGUUACUCGCAGAAUAAGCACCGGCUAACUCUGUGCCAGCAGCCGCGGUAAUACAGAGGGUGCAAGCGUUAAGGGGAUUUACUGGGCGUAAGGCGCGCGUAGGUGGCCAAUUAAGUCAAAUGUGAAAUCCCCGAGCUUAACUUGGGAAUUGCAUUCGAUACUGGUUGGGUAGAGUAUGGGAGAGGAUGGUAGAAUUCCAGGUGUAGCGGUGAAAUGCGUAGAGAUCUGGAGGGAUACCGAUGGCGAAGGCAGCCAUCUGGCCUAAUACUGACACUGAGGUGCGAAAGCAUGGGGAGCAAACAG
RNAcentral lists this ribosomal RNA (425 nucleotides) under uncultured bacterium. RNAcentral's name for it is "bacterial SSU rRNA". It matches the Rfam family "Bacterial small subunit ribosomal RNA", at positions 359 to 775 of the family's 1533-position model. The record is from RNAcentral.